UGCCUUUAUCUGGGGGAUAGCCUUUCGAAAGGAAGAUUAAUACCCCAUAAUAUACUGGAUGGCAUCAUUCGGUAUUGAAAACUCCGGUGGAUAGAGAUGGGCACGCGCAAGAUUAGAUAGUUGGUGAGGUAACGGCUCACCAAGUCUGCGAUCUUUAGGGGGCCUGAGAGGGUGAUCCCCCACACUGGUACUGAGACACGGACCAGACUCCUACGGGAGGCAGCAGUGAGGAAUAUUGGACAAUGGGUGAGAGCCUGAUCCAGCCAUCCCGCGUGAAGGACGACGGCCCUAUGGGUUGUAAACUUCUUUUGUAUAGGGAUAAACCUACUCUCGUGAGAGUAGCUGAAGGUACUAUACGAAUAAGCACCGGCUAACUCCGUGCCAGCAGCCGCGGUAAUACGGAGGGUGCAAGCGUUAUCCGGAUUUAUUGGGUUUAAAGGGUCCGUAGGCGGAUUUGUAAGUCAGUGGUGAAAUCUCACAGCUUAACUGUGAAACUGCCAUUGAUACUGCAAGUCUUGAGUGUUGUUGAAGUAGCUGGAAUAAGUAGUGUAGCGGUGAAAUGCAUAGAUAUUACUUAGAACACCAAUUGCGAAGGCAGGUUACUAAGCAACAACUGACGCUGAUGGACGAAAGCGUGGGGAGCGAACAGGAUUAGAUACCCUGGUAGUCCACGCCGUAAACGAUGCUAACUCGUUUUUGGGCUUUCGGGUUCAGAGACUAAGCGAAAGUGAUAAGUUAGCCACCUGGGGAGUACGAACGCAAGUUUGAAACUCAAAGGAAUUGACGGGGGCCCGCACAAGCGGUGGAUUAUGUGGUUUAAUUCGAUGAUACGCGAGGAACCUUACCAAGGCUUAAAUGGGAAAUGACAGGUUUAGAAAUAGACUUUUCUUCGGACAUUUUUCAAGGUGCUGCAUGGUUGUCGUCAGCUCGUGCCGUGAGGUGUUAGGUUAAGUCCUGCAACGAGCGCAACCCCUGUCACUAGUUGCCAUCAUUAAGUUGGGGACUCUAGUGAGACUGCCUACGCAAGUAGAGAGGAAGGUGGGGAUGACGUCAAAUCAUCACGGCCCUUACGCCUUGGGCCACACACGUAAUACAAUGGCCGGUACAGAGGGCAGCUACACAGCGAUGUGAUGCAAAUCUCGAAAGCCGGUCUCAGUUCGGAUUGGAGUCUGCAACUCGACUCUAUGAAGCUGGAAUCGCUAGUAAUCGCGCAUCAGCCAUGGCGCGGUGAAUACGUUCCCGG
This 1243-nucleotide ribosomal RNA is filed under the name Chryseobacterium sp. RNAcentral's name for it is "bacterial SSU rRNA". It matches the Rfam family "Bacterial small subunit ribosomal RNA", at positions 127 to 1377 of the family's 1533-position model. The record is from RNAcentral. Lineage: Bacteria; Pseudomonadati; Bacteroidota; Flavobacteriia; Flavobacteriales; Weeksellaceae.